RNAcentral lists this transfer RNA (69 nucleotides) under Curculionoidea sp. 18 KM-2017. Its description in RNAcentral is "tRNA-Leu". Lineage: Eukaryota; Metazoa; Arthropoda; Insecta; Coleoptera. The record is from RNAcentral.
GUUAUUUUGGCAGAUUAGUGUAAUAGAUUUAGAAUCUAUAGAUAUAAAAUAAAUUUUUUAUAAAUAAUA